Molecule: transfer RNA, 76 nt
Filed under: Chloroflexota bacterium
Lineage: Bacteria; Bacillati; Chloroflexota
Also listed under: 1 other name
Description: Chloroflexi bacterium (rhizosphere metagenome) tRNA-Gly
Rfam family: tRNA
About the family: Transfer RNA (tRNA) molecules are approximately 80 nucleotides in length.
Source: RNAcentral
GCGGGGGUAGCUCAGUCGGCAGAGCGCAACUUUCCCAAAGUUGAGGUCGCGGGUUCGAGCCCCGUUCCCCGCUCCA